GACGAACGCUGGCGGCGUGCUUAACACAUGCAAGUCGAACGGAAAGGCCCUGCUUUUGUGGGGUGCUCGAGUGGCGAACGGGUGAGUAACACGUGAGUAACCUGCCCUUGACUUUGGGAUAACUUCAGGAAACUGGGGCUAAUACCGGAUAGGAGCUCCUGCUGCAUGGUGGGGGUUGGAAAGUUUCGGCGGUUGGGGAUGGACUCGCGGCUUAUCAGCUUGUUGGUGGGGUAGUGGCUUACCAAGGCUUUGACGGGUAGCCGGCCUGAGAGGGUGACCGGCACCAGGGGGCUAGGGAAGGCGCCCAGGGCCAAUCGGGGGGAAGGGGGGGGAAAUGUGGCAAACGGGGCGGAGGCGUUAAGGAGAACCGCCGGGUGGGGGAGGACGGCUUUUGGGUGGGAAAAGCAUUUGGCCGGUAACGAGGGGUUGGGGAGGUAAAGGGGGAAAAAGGCCCGGGUAACUUCGUG
Molecule: ribosomal RNA, 467 nt
Filed under: uncultured bacterium
Lineage: Bacteria
Description: partial 16S ribosomal RNA
Rfam family: Bacterial small subunit ribosomal RNA
Source: RNAcentral